AUUAAUAAGCGGAGGAAAAGAAACUAACCAGGAUUCCCUUAGUAACGGCGAGUGAAGCGGGAAUAGCCCAGCACCGAAUCCGGCGCCGAUGCGGCGCACGGAACUGUGGUGUUCAGGACCGAGCAUGCUCUUCGGUCCGGCGUCCGAGUCCUCCUGAUCGGGGCUUUGCCAGAGCGGGUGUCAGCCCUCUACGGCGCCGGACCGUCGCGCCCGCGACGUCCUCGGAGUCGGGUUGUUUGAUAAUGCAGCCCAAAGCGGGUGGUAAACUCCAUCUAAGGCUAAAUACGGACACGAGUCCGAUAGCGAACAAGUACCGUGAGGGAAAGUU
RNAcentral lists this ribosomal RNA (328 nucleotides) under Trieminentia corderoi. Its description in RNAcentral is "eukaryotic LSU rRNA". It matches the Rfam family "Eukaryotic large subunit ribosomal RNA", at positions 42 to 365 of the family's 3401-position model. Lineage: Eukaryota; Metazoa; Annelida; Clitellata; Tubificida; Opistocystidae. The record is from RNAcentral.